GUGGGGAAUAUUGGACAAUGGGCGAAAGCCUGAUCCAGCCAUGCCGCGUGUGUGAAGAAGGUCUUCGGAUUGUAAAGCACUUUAAGUUGGGAGGAAGGGCAGUAAGUUAAUACCUUGCUGUUUUGACGUUACCGACAGAAUAAGCACCGGCUAACUUCGUGCCAGCAGCAGCGGUAAUACGAAGGGUGCAAGCGUUAAUCGGAAUUACUGGGCGUAAAGCGCGCGUAGGUGGUUUUGUAAGUUGGAGGUGAAAUCCUCGGGCUCAACCUGGAAACUGCCUCCAAAACUGCAUGACUAGAGUACGGUAGAGGGUAGUGGAAUUUCCUGUGUAGCGGUGAAAUGCGUAGAUAUAGGAAGGAACACCAGUGGCGAAGGCGACUACCUGGACUGAUACUGACACUGAGGUGCGAAAGCGUGGGGAGCAAACAGGAUUAGAUACCCGUGUAGUCC
RNAcentral lists this ribosomal RNA (450 nucleotides) under uncultured bacterium. Its description in RNAcentral is "partial 16S ribosomal RNA". It matches the Rfam family "Bacterial small subunit ribosomal RNA", at positions 354 to 796 of the family's 1533-position model. The record is from RNAcentral.